GAAACUAGUUGGCUUUGUUAACUAUCAGAUGAAAUGCAGUUUCUCCUAAAAAUUAUUUGUACAGUGAACUCUUACUGCUACAAGAAAGAACAAAGGGGCUUAUAUGCAUAUUAGAUUAUGGCAUAUUCCAGUUUAAUUCUCUUGGGGAUCGACAUUAGUACUCCGUGGAUUCUCUUUUUGUAUUUAAAAAAGAUGGAAAAAGAAAUCCCUCUCUACCCAGUAAUGAAAGGCAGUUAGUUGUUGUAGAUGCAAAACUUUAACCCCCAAGGGAUUGAAAAUUCAAAAGAAAAGAUGGGAUGGAAAAAUAACUUUUCCAUUAACAUCUUACCAUCCCCAGAAAAGAAAAGAAAAAUGUCAAGAAUGUCAAGACUGAUUUUAAAAUCUGUAAUGCAUAGAUGAUUACCCCUUGCUUGACAAUGGUUACAUUGGGGAGGCAAUAUGCAAUUGCAAAAAACAAUUAUCCUGAUGAUCUCCAGAUCCUUCCCUCCAGAGAAACAACCAUGACAGAGACGUCAUCAUGAUAUUUACGCCGAUCUCCAUUAGGAAUGUCAAGCAGUUCAUGAAAAUCCAUGCCAUUCUUUUUGGCAGCACGGAAGAGAAGCUCUGCAAUGAGAUACUGUGCAGGAUCACCUUCAGGGACAUUUUCCAUGAACCACGUGACAUGGGCAACUACCUCUUCAUUGCUGAAGUACUGGUAAAGCCCAUCAGAGGAAAGAACCAAGAACCGAUCACUUGAGGAAAGUCGAUGGUGAACGACAGAAGGAAUGCAGCUAACAUAGGGAUUAGUUCCCAUGUAAUUGAUCCGGAAAAUCUCCAAAAGAGCUUCAUUGCAAGUUGGCUUCUUCAGAAAUCCAGCACCAAAUGCUCUGGUUACUUUUAACUGCCCCUUCACUCGAUCAUUCAAAAUGGCUUGGUUGUCAUCAGGAUGUUCUGCCUUUACUCUAAACACUUCCUGUUCAAUACUUGUGCUGUGAUCAGUGGAAAGUUGAACCGCCCUCAUCUUCAAUCUGCAAAUGGAGAUAUCUCUAUUCUUGUUGAUCAUAUUAACCUGACUAUUUUGAUUAUGAAUUGGGGACUCCUCUGAAAUUCUGUCCAGCUCCAUGCGUACUAAUGACUCUCUGGAUCUGUUCCUGUGCCUCAAGUCAUCCUUGGCAAAACUUGGAUUUGGAUGGCGAUCAUUAGGCCUCUCCUGUGCCAAGAUUGCACGGCUAUCCCCAAGGUUCAUAACAUACACAUCUUGAUCCUUCAUUAACAUUACGAGAACACAAGAACCCAUCAAAGCGAGCUCUGCAUUUUUAUCAAGGUUCUUUUCCACCAUCUCCAUGUAUGCCUCUUCGGUGCAUUCAAGUGCUCGAGACAUUGCUUUUAAAACUGCAUCAUGAUCAACAAUUCCUGAUUUACAUCUCCUGAAAGGUCCAGGAGGUUCUACAACUCUCUCAUCAGCACAGAUCUCCUCUCUAUGCCAAUCAUAACUCCAAGGAAAGAGUUUCUUACGCAAGGACUUCUGCUUCCUAUACAUUUUUCUGAUCUUUGAACUAAUAAUAGACUUUCUUGUACUCUGUUGUUGCUGUGAAACAUUAAGCUCAGUUAUGAUUUCUGGAUUACUAGAUUCAAACCUAACCCCUCCAUCCUCUCCAGAUGUUGAGGGACCUUCAACUUGUUGAUUAGAACCAUCACCAUUGUCAUUGUUCAAUGUACAAGAUCUUUGCUGUUCAAGUAAAGUCAGUCUGGAAUCCAAAGGAUCUGAACUUGGCUGACAACUCCACGCAUUCCUCCUUUUACUUUCAACCAGUGACAUUGAAAUAAAACCUAAGUCAUUGCAUGAUUCCAUUUGUAGCAGCUCAUACAACCGCAUACUUUUCCUUCCUCGGCCAGUCAAGUUGGCAGUUGGAAUAGAAGCAGAAGCGGAGCCUGAGAUGCUAGGCCUUUUACAGUUAGAUGAUUGCUGUUGGUUGCUCUUAACAUCAUCAUAUUCCUCCACAAUUUCACAAUUAGAAGAUUGAUCCCUGACAACUCCUGGAUUGCAAGCUUUUUCUAAACCACAAUAAGUUACUUGACUCGAAUUUGGCUGGUUUUCCUUCCCACACUCUGAACCAACAUCAGCAUUUCUGCACUUAGAAAUUUCAGGUUUUAUCGGACCACUUACAGAUUUAUCUUCAUAAUCCCACAGUACCCCUUCCAAUUCCUUAUCUAUAGCUCUAUAAAGAUGACUCAUGAGAAAAUCUGGUGCAUCUGGGCCACUAAAGCCAUCAUAAAUCCCAAUAAACAACCAUCCUUGCUCUUCAGAAAGCACAACAUGAACCCUAUCCUCACCAGCCUUCCCGUGGGCCCACUGUAAGUUACGACUGUUCACAUACUCCCCUUCUGAUGAUCCUCCUUCAAGAUUUCGUGAAGCUUCUGGUCGAAACUUUGGCUCUCUAACAUGCCAGGCCAAUUGGACUGCUGGAUGCAAGAAAAACCUCUGCAUCCAACCUGCCCCAAUUGAAUGUUUUGAGAAUGUCCGAGAUAGUGUAUUUUUCAUUGGUCGACUCACCCUGCUCACUAGCUGCUGAAAGCGAGGUCUUCUACGGCCACGUGCAAGAGGAGCAGAAAAGUUGGAUUUGUCAGCACCAUCAAGAGGACCUGACAUUACCCCCUUCUCAAUUGGUCCAGAUAUAAAACCACUGCCCCUCUCUAAAGGACCAGAAGCAAAACCUCUCUCAAGGGGCCCAGACAUGAAUCCAUUCAAAGGUCCAGAGCCACGAGGCACUGGCUGCAAUGGGAUUGCAGCAAAUGAGGAGGUACUCUCAAAUGAUGCAGCAGGCUCUUGCAUGUCACUAGCAAACAAUGCACUCUGGUUACCAGUCCUAGCAGUUGAAACAUUGGCACUAACAGAUGCACCCGAUAUGGUUUUAAAUGUAGUUUCAGGGAAAGUCUUGUUUGGUCUAUGCAAACCAGACGGAUCAUCUAUUGAUUCAUGUCUAAAUGACCCGCUUAAAGUUUCGGAAUCUAGGGUGCUAGAAUCAACUGUAAACCUCUCAGAGUUUGAAGGGGUAAUGGCAGGAGAGUCAAAAAUCGAUGGCCUAACAUAACAAAACGAAUGGCCUAAUCCCUCAUCCAGCGGCUCUAAAAAUUCUAAAUCAACACCAUUUUUUCCAUUAAACGGCACAAAACAACCCACAACACGAGAAGUGCCGUUACCCAUUUCGCAAACAUAUACCUCACGAAAAAGAGAUACAGGACCUCUGUUACGGAGGGCUUAUCUCACUUUGCACCAUAAGGAUAUAGAAAAUGAAAAAAAAUUAAACAAAAUCUCAAAAACCCAUUAAAAACCCCAACCACCUUAUAACUUUUCAAGUAACUAUACAUCAUCAAAUUCUCAUGCUCCAAGCAUUAAAACCCAGAACCCCCGAUGUAAAACGAACUACACCCCGUUUAUAUUUAAAGCAGCAAAAACUUCCAGCUUAGCUAUUCAGCCAGAGUAACAGAACCGAUGCUAUCAGCAAUUAAAAUUGAAGGGAAAAAAAAAAAGAACUAUGCAGAGCUAAAGUAAUAGUUGUGUAGCAUAAAAUGUGAUGAUCUGACCUUGAGGGGGAGUGUUAAAGCGGAAAUAAAGCAGUGGAUCGAGCACAGCAGCAAACAGAUCUAAGAAACAGUAAAUGGAACACAUCAGAUACGAACCAAGACACAAAAUCCAUUUAGAUUUUUUUUCUCUUUGUGGAAUCUGACAAAGUCUCCAAAUAAAAAAAAAACCCAGAUUGAUUCCACCCCAUACGAUUGAAUCAUGCGCACAUAUACAACUGCUCAAAACCCCUCCAACACCAUAAAAAUUAAGCCCAAGAAGAAGAGCAAGAAGAGAAAUAAGAAGAAGAAAAAGAAAAAAGAUAUAGACCCAGAAGAGGUUUUUCAGAGUUUAGAGACUGAAGAAUCAAGAAAUAGAGGGAAACGAGAAGUGAAGAAAGGAGGAAAUAUGGGUAAUUGUUUUAGACUUUCUAGUGAGUGGCAAUUAAAAAAAU
RNAcentral lists this unclassified non-coding RNA (3995 nucleotides) under Hevea brasiliensis (rubber tree). The record is from RNAcentral. Lineage: Eukaryota; Viridiplantae; Streptophyta; Magnoliopsida; Malpighiales; Euphorbiaceae.